This 163-nucleotide ribosomal RNA is filed under the name Cuscuta angulata. RNAcentral describes it as "5.8S ribosomal RNA". It matches the Rfam family "5.8S ribosomal RNA". Rfam says of the family: 5.8S ribosomal RNA (5.8S rRNA) is a component of the large subunit of the eukaryotic ribosome. It is transcribed by RNA polymerase I as part of the 45S precursor that also contains 18S and 28S rRNA. Lineage: Eukaryota; Viridiplantae; Streptophyta; Magnoliopsida; Solanales; Convolvulaceae. The record is from RNAcentral.
AAGACUCUCGGCAACGGAUAUUUCGACUCCUGCAUUGAUGAAGAACGUAGCAAAAUGCGAUACUUGGUGUGAAUUGCAGAAUCCCGUGAGCCAUCGAAUCUUUGAAUGCAAGUUGCGCUUGAAGCCUCCUUUGGCUAAGGGCACGCCUGCUUGGGUGUCUUGC